GACGAACGCUGGCGGCGUGCUUAACACAUGCAAGUCGAACGGAAAGGCCCUGCUUUUGUGGGGUGCUCGAGUGGCGAACGGGUGAGUAUAACUCAGGAACCCCCUCCCUAUCUUGGGGUAACCUCUGGAAAACGGGGGUAAUACCGGCAUAUAAUCUUCUGCGCCUGGUGGGGGAUGGGAAAUUGCGGGGGUUGGGGUUGGUCCUGGGGGUUUCCGCCCUGCUGGGGGGGGUGGGACUUACCAAAGCUUUGACGGGUAGCCGGCCUGAGAGGGUGACCGGCCACAUUGGGACUGAGAUACGGCCCAGACUCCUACGGGAGGCAGCAGUGGGGAGUAUUGCACAAUGGGCGGAAGCCUGAUGCAGCAACGCCGCGUGCGGAAUGACGGCCUUCGGGUUGUAAACCGCUUUCGCCGGAGACGAAGCGUGAGUGACGGUAAUGGGUAAGGAAGCACCGGCUAACUACGUG
Molecule: ribosomal RNA, 467 nt
Filed under: uncultured bacterium
Lineage: Bacteria
Description: partial 16S ribosomal RNA
Rfam family: Bacterial small subunit ribosomal RNA
Source: RNAcentral